This 253-nucleotide ribosomal RNA is filed under the name uncultured Gemmata sp. RNAcentral describes it as "partial 16S ribosomal RNA". It matches the Rfam family "Bacterial small subunit ribosomal RNA", at positions 524 to 776 of the family's 1533-position model. Lineage: Bacteria; Pseudomonadati; Planctomycetota; Planctomycetia; Gemmatales; Gemmataceae. The record is from RNAcentral.
GACGAACCGAGCGAACGUUGUUCGGAAUCACUGGGCUUAAAGGGCGCGUAGGCGGGCUGUCGAGUCUGGGGUGAAAUCCCGCGGCUCAACCGUGGAACUGCCUUAGAUACUGACGGCCUCGAGGGAGGUAGGGGCAUGCGGAACUGAUGGUGGAGCGGUGAAAUGCGUUGAUAUCAUCAGGAACUCCGGUGGCGAAGGCGGCGUGCUGGACCUCUUCUGACGCUGAGGCGCGAAAGCUAGGGGAGCAAACGGG